GGGUUGUGAGGUUAAGCGACUAAGCGUACACGGUGGAUGCCCUGGCAGUCAGAGGCGAUGAAGGACGUGCUAAUCUGCGAUAAGCGUCGGUAAGGUGAUAUGAACCGUUAUAACCGGCGAUUUCCGAAUGGGGAAACCCAGUGUGUUUCGACACACUAUCAUUAACUGAAUCCAUAGGUUAAUGAGGCGAACCGGGGGAACUGAAACAUCUAAGUACCCCGAGGAAAAGAAAUCAACCGAGAUUCCCCCAGUAGCGGCGAGCGAACGGGGAGCAGCCCAGAGCCUGAAUCAGUGUGUGUGUUAGUGGAAGCGUCUGGAAAGGCGCGCGAUACAGGGUGACAGCCCCGUACACAAAAAUGCACAUGCUGUGAGCUCGAUGAGUAGGGCGGGACACGUGGUAUCCUGUCUGAAUAUGGGGGGACCAUCCUCCAAGGCUAAAUACUCCUGACUGACCGAUAGUGAACCAGUACCGUGAGGGAAAGGCGAAAAGAACCCCGGCGAGGGGAGUGAAAAAGAACCUGAAACCGUGUACGUACAAGCAGUGGGAGCACGCUUCGGCGUGUGACUGCGUACCUUUUGUAUAAUGGGUCAGCGACUUAUAUUCUGUAGCAAGGUUAACCGAAUAGGGGAGCCGAAGGGAAACCGAGUCUUAACUGGGCGUUAAGUUGCAGGGUAUAGACCCGAAACCCGGUGAUCUAGCCAUGGGCAGGUUGAAGGUUGGGUAACACUAACUGGAGGACCGAACCGACUAAUGUUGAAAAAUUAGCGGAUGACUUGUGGCUGGGGGUGAAAGGCCAAUCAAACCGGGAGAUAGCUGGUUCUCCCCGAAAGCUAUUUAGGUAGCGCCUCGUGAAUUCAUCUCCGGGGGUAGAGCACUGUUUCGGCAAGGGGGUCAUCCCGACUUACCAACCCGAUGCAAACUGCGAAUACCGGAGAAUGUUAUCACGGGAGACACACGGCGGGUGCUAACGUCCGUCGUGAAGAGGGAAACAACCCAGACCGCCAGCUAAGGUCCCAAAGUCAUGGUUAAGUGGGAAACGAUGUGGGAAGGCCCAGACAGCCAGGAUGUUGGCUUAGAAGCAGCCAUCAUUUAAAGAAAGCGUAAUAGCUCACUGGUCGAGUCGGCCUGCGCGGAAGAUGUAACGGGGCUAAACCAUGCACCGAAGCUGCGGCAGCGACGCUUAUGCGUUGUUGGGUAGGGGAGCGUUCUGUAAGCCUGUGAAGGUGUGCUGUGAGGCAUGCUGGAGGUAUCAGAAGUGCGAAUGCUGACAUAAGUAACGAUAAAGCGGGUGAAAAGCCCGCUCGCCGGAAGACCAAGGGUUCCUGUCCAACGUUAAUCGGGGCAGGGUGAGUCGACCCCUAAGGCGAGGCCGAAAGGCGUAGUCGAUGGGAAACAGGUUAAUAUUCCUGUACUUGGUGUUACUGCGAAGGGGGGACGGAGAAGGCUAUGUUGGCCGGGCGACGGUUGUCCCGGUUUAAGCGUGUAGGCUGGUUUUCCAGGCAAAUCCGGAAAAUCAAGGCUGAGGCGUGAUGACGAGGCACUACGGUGCUGAAGCAACAAAUGCCCUGCUUCCAGGAAAAGCCUCUAAGCAUCAGGUAACAUCAAAUCGUACCCCAAACCGACACAGGUGGUCAGGUAGAGAAUACCAAGGCGCUUGAGAGAACUCGGGUGAAGGAACUAGGCAAAAUGGUGCCGUAACUUCGGGAGAAGGCACGCUGAUAUGUAGGUGAAGUCCCUCGCGGAUGGAGCUGAAAUCAGUCGAAGAUACCAGCUGGCUGCAACUGUUUAUUAAAAACACAGCACUGUGCAAACACGAAAGUGGACGUAUACGGUGUGACGCCUGCCCGGUGCCGGAAGGUUAAUUGAUGGGGUCAGCGCAAGCGAAGCUCUUGAUCGAAGCCCCGGUAAACGGCGGCCGUAACUAUAACGGUCCUAAGGUAGCGAAAUUCCUUGUCGGGUAAGUUCCGACCUGCACGAAUGGCGUAAUGAUGGCCAGGCUGUCUCCACCCGAGACUCAGUGAAAUUGAACUCGCUGUGAAGAUGCAGUGUACCCGCGGCAAGACGGAAAGACCCCGUGAACCUUUACUAUAGCUUGACACUGAACAUUGAGCCUUGAUGUGUAGGAUAGGUGGGAGGCUUUGAAGUGUGGACGCCAGUCUGCAUGGAGCCGACCUUGAAAUACCACCCUUUAAUGUUUGAUGUUCUAACGUUGACCCGUAAUCCGGGUUGCGGACAGUGUCUGGUGGGUAGUUUGACUGGGGCGGUCUCCUCCUAAAGAGUAACGGAGGAGCACGAAGGUUGGCUAAUCCUGGUCGGACAUCAGGAGGUUAGUGCAAUGGCAUAAGCCAGCUUGACUGCGAGCGUGACGGCGCGAGCAGGUGCGAAAGCAGGUCAUAGUGAUCCGGUGGUUCUGAAUGGAAGGGCCAUCGCUCAACGGAUAAAAGGUACUCCGGGGAUAACAGGCUGAUACCGCCCAAGAGUUCAUAUCGACGGCGGUGUUUGGCACCUCGAUGUCGGCUCAUCACAUCCUGGGGCUGAAGUAGGUCCCAAGGGUAUGGCUGUUCGCCAUUUAAAGUGGUACGCGAGCUGGGUUUAGAACGUCGUGAGACAGUUCGGUCCCUAUCUGCCGUGGGCGCUGGAGAACUGAGGGGGGCUGCUCCUAGUACGAGAGGACCGGAGUGGACGCAUCACUGGUGUUCGGGUUGUCAUGCCAAUGGCACUGCCCGGUAGCUAAAUGCGGAAGAGAUAAGUGCUGAAAGCAUCUAAGCACGAAACUUGCCCCGAGAUGAGUUCUCCCUGACCCUUUAAGGGUCCUGAAGGAACGUUGAAGACGACGACGUUGAUAGGCCGGGUGUGUAAGCGCAGCGAUGCGUUGAGCUAACCGGUACUAAUGAACCGUGAGGCUUAACCUUACAACGCCGAAG
RNAcentral lists this ribosomal RNA (2925 nucleotides) under Escherichia coli. Its description in RNAcentral is "partial 23S ribosomal RNA". It matches the Rfam family "Bacterial large subunit ribosomal RNA". Lineage: Bacteria; Pseudomonadati; Pseudomonadota; Gammaproteobacteria; Enterobacterales; Enterobacteriaceae. The record is from RNAcentral.